GGGCGCUUAGCGCAGUGGUAGCGCGUAUGCUUUGCAUGUAUAAGGUCCAGGGUUCAAUCCCCUGAGCGUCCA
This 72-nucleotide transfer RNA is filed under the name Suillus luteus UH-Slu-Lm8-n1. RNAcentral describes it as "tRNA-Ala (TGC) (tRNA-Ala-TGC-2-1)". It matches the Rfam family "tRNA". Rfam says of the family: Transfer RNA (tRNA) molecules are approximately 80 nucleotides in length. Their secondary structure includes four short double-helical elements and three loops (D, anti-codon, and T loops). Further hydrogen bonds mediate the characteristic L-shaped molecular structure. tRNAs have two regions of fundamental functional importance: the anti-codon, which is responsible for specific mRNA codon recognition, and the 3' end, to which the tRNAs corresponding amino acid is attached (by aminoacyl-tRNA synthetases). tRNAs cope with the degeneracy of the genetic code in two manners: having more than one tRNA (with a specific anti-codon) for a particular amino acid; and 'wobble' base-pairing, i.e. permitting non-standard base-pairing at the 3rd anti-codon position. The record is from RNAcentral. Lineage: Eukaryota; Fungi; Basidiomycota; Agaricomycetes; Boletales; Suillaceae.